Molecule: long non-coding RNA, 362 nt
Filed under: Cyanistes caeruleus (blue tit)
Lineage: Eukaryota; Metazoa; Chordata; Aves; Passeriformes; Paridae
Description: lncRNA (ENSCCEG00000014154.1)
Source: RNAcentral
UUUGCUUCAUGAUUUUUCUUCAGUGUUAUAUGCUCCUGCAUAGAGAUAUGGCAAAACCUUUUCUGUCUGAUGAACUUCUCAGCUGAAUGUCCUUCAAUAUUUCAAAAUUCUAACCACCUUUGCUGGAGAAAUAGUGAGGGUGAAGCAGACUUCUGAUCUCGCUUUGACUCAGCCAAAAUAUUUCCCUGGUCUUCAGCAAUCACCUCCUGCAGUCAGAGAACAGAAAAACACAUCUGAGAAUCACUACAAAAACAGUAAAAUAAUUUGCUAAUGUAAAAUCAUUUCUGCCAGCAGAGAGACUUGAACUAGGACAACUUUGAUCUUAGAAUAAAUUAUGUCUCAGAUUGCUUAGAUCUUUUGCA